This 253-nucleotide ribosomal RNA is filed under the name uncultured bacterium. RNAcentral's name for it is "partial 16S ribosomal RNA". It matches the Rfam family "Bacterial small subunit ribosomal RNA", at positions 524 to 776 of the family's 1533-position model. The record is from RNAcentral.
UACGUAGGGUGCAAGCGUUGUCCGGAAUUAUUGGGCGUAAAGAGCUCGUAGGCGGUCUGUCGCGUCUGCUGUGAAAUCCCGAGGCUCAACCUCGGGCCUGCAGUGGGUACGGGCAGACUAGAGUGCGGUAGGGGAGAAUGGAACUCCUGGUGUAGCGGUGGAAUGCGCAGAUAUCAGGAAGAACACCGAUGGCGAAGGCAGUUCUCUGGGCCGUAACUGACGCUGAGGAGCGAAAGCGUGGGGAGCAAACAGG